CCUACGGGAGGCAGCAGUGAGGAAUAUUGGUCAAUGGACGAGAGUCUGAACCAGCCAAGUAGCGUGAAGGAUGACUGCCCUAUGGGUUGUAAACUUCUUUUAUCAAGGAAUAAAACGAGGCACGUGUGCCUUUUUGCAUGUACUUUAUGAAUAAGGAUCGGCUAACUCCGUGCCAGCAGCCGCGGUAAUACGGAGGAUGCGAGCGUUAUCCGGAUUUAUUGGGUUUAAAGGGAGCGUAGAUGGGUUGUUAAGUCAGUGGUGAAAGUUUGCGGCUCAACCGUAAAAUUGCAAUUGAUACUGGCAGUCUUGAGUACAGGUGAGGUAGGCGGAAUGCGUGGUGUAGCGGUGAAAUGCUUAGAUAUCGCGAAGAACCCCGAUUGCGAAGGCAGCUUACUAACGUCUGACUGACACUGAUGCACGAAAGUGUGGGUAUCGAACAGGAUUAGAUACCCUUGUAGUC
Molecule: ribosomal RNA, 460 nt
Filed under: uncultured bacterium
Lineage: Bacteria
Description: partial 16S ribosomal RNA
Rfam family: Bacterial small subunit ribosomal RNA
Source: RNAcentral